CGCAGGAGUGAAAACUGUGAGAUGAGGAGGGCAAAGAAGUGAAGGUGACCAGAGGCUAUUCACAGCUGUUGUUGAGGGGAAUUUGAGAUUCAAAGCUCUGCAUCACAAGAUCUAAAGAGGCAAUGCAGAUGUCAGAGUUUGGGAGCCAGACCACUUCUACAGCUGAGGACCUCUUUGAUUUCUUAUUGACUGGGAAAUAACUGACAAAUCAGUCAACGUUCCAUGCCUGUCUCCUCCUCCCCUCCCCCCCAUCCUUUUUGAUAAAAAGUAAUUGGGAGGAACAAUCUCCUUUUGGAAAUCAGACACAGCCUUCACCUCUCAAGGGAGGACCUGCAAGAGAAGACAUCUAGACUCUGCUUUGAAUGCUACUGAUCUGGAUUUUGGAAGUGGAC
Long non-coding RNA from Mauremys mutica (yellowpond turtle), 392 nucleotides. RefSeq lists it as uncharacterized. The transcript has 4 exons. The record is from RefSeq and is a predicted model, not a curated record. NCBI's taxonomy places the organism in Eukaryota, Metazoa, Chordata, Testudines, Geoemydidae.